AGAGAGAGAGAGAGAGAGAGAACGCGUGCGGUCGAAUUAUAAUGAAGACGGACAAACGAAUGGACGAACGUAAUCGUCGUUUUCCGGGAUGAUGUUAAAACGUUAUGAAGUUGUGAAUGAGAACCGAUAUCGAUCUACCUUUGAAACGAUACCAGGAAUGAAAUCCGAUCGUUAACGAACGAUUACGAAGGAGACCGAAGGAACGCGCUUGGAAACAAUCAAAUGGAUUCGCCGGCAUAUGGCGAAUCCUGUUAUAUUCACGACGAAUGUUCAACGUUCGGUUAUGAUCAAGAAACACAAAAAAAAGAAAUAUCAAUACAACAAGAAAAGAGAUAAUAAACUGCUAGUAAACUAAGAAAUACAAAUUUAAGUAGAAACAAAUUAAUAUUAUUGUUAUUGAGAGAAUGGUGAAACUUGUAUAUAUUCGAUCACAAAAACGAAAAA
This is a long non-coding RNA of Vespula pensylvanica (western yellowjacket), 444 nucleotides long. RefSeq lists it as uncharacterized. The record is from RefSeq and is a predicted model, not a curated record. The transcript is spliced from 2 exons. NCBI's taxonomy places the organism in Eukaryota, Metazoa, Arthropoda, Insecta, Hymenoptera, Vespidae.